GAUGAACGCUGGCGGCGUGCCUAAUACAUGCAAGUCGAGCGAACAGAUGAGGAGCUUGCUCCUCUGACGUUAGCGGCGGACGGGUGAGUAACACGUGGAUAACCUACCUAUAAGACUGGGAUAACUUCGGGAAACCGGAGCUAAUACCGGAUAAUAUAUUGAACCGCAUGGUUCAAUAGUGAAAGACGGUUUUGCUGUCACUUAUAGAUGGAUCCGCGCCGCAUUAGCUAGUUGGUUAGGUAACGGCUUACCAAGGCAACGAUGCGUAGCCGACCUGAGAGGGUGAUCGGCCACACUGGAACUGAGACACGGUCCAGACUCCUACGGGAGGCAGCAGUAGGGAAUCUUCCGCAAUGGGCGAAAGCCUGACGGAGCAACGCCGCGUGAGUGAAGAAGGUCUUCGGAUCGUAAAACUCUGUUAUUAGGGAAGAACAAAUGUGUAAGUAACUAUGCACGUCUUGACGGUACCUAAUCAGAAAGCCACGGCUAACUACGUG
RNAcentral lists this ribosomal RNA (497 nucleotides) under uncultured bacterium. RNAcentral's name for it is "partial 16S ribosomal RNA". It matches the Rfam family "Bacterial small subunit ribosomal RNA", at positions 28 to 507 of the family's 1533-position model. The record is from RNAcentral.